RNAcentral lists this ribosomal RNA (730 nucleotides) under Salmonella enterica. Its description in RNAcentral is "partial 23S ribosomal RNA". It matches the Rfam family "Bacterial large subunit ribosomal RNA", at positions 2204 to 2925 of the family's 2925-position model. Lineage: Bacteria; Pseudomonadati; Pseudomonadota; Gammaproteobacteria; Enterobacterales; Enterobacteriaceae. The record is from RNAcentral.
CCUUUAAUGUUUGAUGUUCUAACGUGGACCCGUGAUCCGGGUUGCGGACAGUGUCUGGUGGGUAGUUUGACUGGGGCGGUCUCCUCCUAAAGAGUAACGGAGGAGCACGAAGGUUGGCUAAUCCUGGUCGGACAUCAGGAGGUUAGUGCAAUGGCAUAAGCCAGCUUGACUGCGAGCGUGACGGCGCGAGCAGGUGCGAAAGCAGGUCAUAGUGAUCCGGUGGUUCUGAAUGGAAGGGCCAUCGCUCAACGGAUAAAAGGUACUCCGGGGAUAACAGGCUGAUACCGCCCAAGAGUUCAUAUCGACGGCGGUGUUUGGCACCUCGAUGUCGGCUCAUCACAUCCUGGGGCUGAAGUAGGUCCCAAGGGUAUGGCUGUUCGCCAUUUAAAGUGGUACGCGAGCUGGGUUUAGAACGUCGUGAGACAGUUCGGUCCCUAUCUGCCGUGGGCGCUGGAGAACUGAGGGGGGCUGCUCCUAGUACGAGAGGACCGGAGUGGACGCAUCACUGGUGUUCGGGUUGUCAUGCCAAUGGCACUGCCCGGUAGCUAAAUGCGGAAGAGAUAAGUGCUGAAAGCAUCUAAGCACGAAACUUGCCCCGAGAUGAGUUCUCCCUGAGACUUUAAGUCUCCUGAAGGAACGUUGAAGACGACGACGUUGAUAGGCCGGGUGUGUAAGCGCAGCGAUGCGUUGAGCUAACCGGUACUAAUGAACCGUGAGGCUUAACCUUACA